GCAGCCGCGGUAAUACGUAGGUGGCAAGCGUUAUCCGGAUUUACUGGGUGUAAAGGGUGUGUAGGCGGGAAGGCAAGUCAGAUGUGAAAACUAUGGGCUCAACUCAUAGCCUGCAUUUGAAACUGUUUUUCUUGAGAGUCGGAGAGGUAAGUGGAAUUCCCGGUGUAGAGGUGAAAUUCGUAGAUAUCGGGAGGAACAUCUGUGGCGAAGGCGACUUACUGGACGAUUACUGACGCUGAGACACGAAAGCGUGGGGAGCAAACAGGAUUAGAUACCCC
RNAcentral lists this ribosomal RNA (278 nucleotides) under uncultured Ruminococcus sp. RNAcentral describes it as "partial 16S ribosomal RNA". It matches the Rfam family "Bacterial small subunit ribosomal RNA", at positions 511 to 788 of the family's 1533-position model. The record is from RNAcentral. Lineage: Bacteria; Bacillati; Bacillota; Clostridia; Eubacteriales; Oscillospiraceae.